This is a long non-coding RNA of Salvia miltiorrhiza (redroot sage), 424 nucleotides long. RefSeq lists it as uncharacterized. NCBI's taxonomy places the organism in Eukaryota, Viridiplantae, Streptophyta, Magnoliopsida, Lamiales, Lamiaceae. The transcript has 2 exons. The record is from RefSeq and is a predicted model, not a curated record.
ACCUCCACCACCGUCCGCCACCUCCAUUCUCCCCGAUCUUCCACCUCCUUUCGAAUCAGAACUGAAAACCCGUCGCCCUCACCGCAAUUCGUUGCAACUCCCACCGCCACCGCCGCCUUCGACCGUGACAGUCGCGAUUCGCCGCGCCGACCACCGCCGCGGUCUGCCACCUCCAUUCCCCCGCGAUUCGCCCCACCGACACCCUCCGUGAUAUGCCGUGAUUCUUUCUACACAACUAUGGUAUUUCUCCAUAUUGCAGCACCAAUAUUUUUCCUUCUUUUUGCCUUUAUUUUCAGGUAUUUAGAUUAUGUGUUAGGGUAUUGUCCUAUCAGAAAAAAUAUGUAUCAUGUGUGUUGUAAUUGCAUUAAAACCUCAAUUAGAGGUGAAGAUAUAACAUAAGCAUUUGUGUUCCUGAAUUAGAAAA